This 319-nucleotide ribosomal RNA is filed under the name uncultured eukaryote. RNAcentral's name for it is "bacterial SSU rRNA". It matches the Rfam family "Eukaryotic small subunit ribosomal RNA", at positions 1344 to 1680 of the family's 1831-position model. The record is from RNAcentral.
UAACCUGCUAAAUAGUCCUGGUUAGACUCGCUCUAGCCAGCUGACUUCUUAGAGGGACUAUUCGAUUUUGUGCGAAUGGAAGCUUGAGGCAAUAACAGGUCUGUGAUGCCCUUAGAUGUUCUGGGCCGCACGCGCGUUACACUGACAAGUUCAACAAGUUCUUUUCCUUGCCUGAAAAGGCUGGGUAAUCUUCUGAAAGCUUGUCGUGCUGGGGAUAGAUGCUUGUAAUUAUUCAUCUUGAACCAGGAAUGCCUAGUAAGCGCACGUCAUCAACGUGCGCUGAUUACGUCCCUGUCCUUUGUACACACCGCCCGUCGCU